RNAcentral lists this ribosomal RNA (374 nucleotides) under uncultured prokaryote. RNAcentral describes it as "bacterial SSU rRNA". It matches the Rfam family "Bacterial small subunit ribosomal RNA", at positions 524 to 896 of the family's 1533-position model. The record is from RNAcentral.
UACGGAGGGUGCAAGCGUUAUUCGGAUUUAUUGGGCGUAAAGGGCGUGUAGGCGGUUUGAAUAGUCAGGUGUGAAAGCCCUUGGCUUAACCAAGGAAGUGCACUUGAAACUUUCAGACUUGAGUACGGGAGGGGGAAGUGGAAUUCCUGGUGUAGAGGUGAAAUUCGCAGAUAUCAGGAGGAAUACCGGUGGCGAAGGCGACUUCCUGGACCGAUACUGACGCUGAGACGCGAAAGCGUGGGGAGCAAACAGGAUUAGAUACCCUGGUAGUCCACGCCGUAAACGAUGGGCACUAGGUGUAGCGGGUAUUGACCCCUGCUGUGCCGAAGUUAACGCAUUAAGUGCCCCGCCUGGGGAGUACGGCCGCAAGGUUG